GCACCGGCCAAUUAUGUUAAAGGCCACAGUAACUUUCCAAUUAGAUGCUUGCACACGUAUUGCUGGCUUGCUGCUAACUCUAAAGCCUUGCCCUGAUAGACAUUCAGAGGUCCACUACCACCAAAACCAUCCUGUGUGACGGUGGUGCCCCCCAAUGCUAGCUCAAAUAAAGACCCUGCUGUGAGUUGCAUCAAAUCUCCUGUGUGUGGUUUUGGGGAUCACUAACAUUUCCCUGGCACCACACUCCCUAGGGAGGAGAUGUGGAGAGAGAGCUUCCAGCAGCUCGUCGUGUGGCUCCUUACCCAAUUCUACUUCUGCUCAGCUUAGGUGAGACGUAGCUCUUUUUACAGCCUUUGUGUCAUGAAGGCAAAGGGGCAAAGGUUCCAAGGCCAAGAGGGCACUUGGAGUCUCCGAAGCGAAGUCUCUGACGUCCUCUCCUGGCUGGGGGUUCCCAGAGGCCGCAAGCAACUUGAUCCCAUUUCUCACCUGCUCAGAAGCAGUGUCUGCACAGGCCCUUAGCCAAAAAGUCCAGAUGAAAAUGUUCGGGGGAACCUGUGCUAUGGAGCAGUGGGAGAGGCUCAGAGGUCAGUGGGCCACAGCCAGUCCCUGGGCCAUACCUGCUGAGGCAGGAGCUUGGAUGUGUGCUGCAGUCAUGAGGUGCAGAUAGGGGGGAGGAAGUUAUUUUGCUUGUGAGAUAGUCAGGCAUACACACACACACACACACACACACACACACACACACACACACACAAUAAUACCCGCUCCCUGAGAGAAACAGCAGGUAAGCUAUUGUGGUGUCACGUGACCAGUAUUCGACCAGCUGAGGUAGCUGGAUUGCUAUGAGUUCAAGGCCAUCCUGAGCCCCUGGUGAGGAGAGAGACAAGAUGGUAGACUGAUAGAUUUGAAAGCUCCAGCUGUUCUAGACCUUGUUCCCUAUCUCAUGGCUUUUUGGUGGCAGGUGGCUUUCUUUAUCAUGGCACCAAACAGUCCUACCCUCAGCAGCUUACCCUGUCCCCAAGGUCACGGUCGUGGCUUGAGCAUGUCCCUUGAGGUUUACGUGUUGGAAACCAAGUCCCCAGUGAGACUGUGUUGACAGGCGGGAAGAUCCGGAGACGCCUGACCUCGGCAAUGCGUUAAUGCUUUCUCUGGAGAGCAUCCACCAUCUGCCUCCCCCUCCUCCCAGCCCAGAGCUAUCUGUAUACCUCUGUUCCUUCAAGGUUCCUGCCCUCAUUGCUCUGUGGUUGCACUGAGCAGGCAGAGAUGCCUGACAGGACCCAUCCUCAAGGCCGGCCUGCUACUUGGGUGUCAGGCUUGCUAGAUGAGCUGUGCCCCAUGCCCUGGCAUGAAGGAUUCCAGUGCUGUGAACAUCCCUGACCACACUGGGGACACCACAGCCAGGCCCAUGAUUGUGCCAAGACCAGCCAUAACCCGCACCCCAAGCUGCCUCGGGCAUGUCUUUGCUGUCCUUCAAGGGUGUCCAGGUUACCAUGUAGACACUCAUGAAGGGGCAACUUCCUCUUUAGAAGGUCAAAUUGGAUGUGGUAAGUGGCAGACAGACAGGAGGACACCAUGAUUCCCAGAGAGGCUGAGGAGACCCCAAGGUUGGAGGGGUGAGGGGGUGAAGUGGAAAAAUCUUGCUAACUGGGCAGAGUUGAUCUUUGACGUCGCCGUGUGUUUGCUGAGACCUGACCCAAGGCACACUUUCAUCUCUCAUGGAAAACUUGUUCACUGCCAGGGUCAAAGUGUCUGUGGGUACCCAGGCAGCGGGUUGCUCAGUGAGGGCAGAGGUGGGGGUGGAGAAAGGACUAGAAACUGAGGGCCGCUGCAGGCCAGCAGGCCUCAGGCCUCAGAAACUAAGAGGGGAGGGCUCUCAACAAAGGAGCCAUGUGGCCCACCCUCUCUGCUCCCUGUGGCUGCCAAGGAUAAACUGCAGAGGGUUGAGCAGCCACAGCUGCUGCAGCUGCUGAGGAUGACAGCUGAGGGGUCACAUACUGCAUAGAUCUUCUGCAGUACGUGAGGAGAGAGACCCACGGUCCCCAGACUCUCAGGCUGAGCACCUGGAAGCUGGAGUGGAGCCAGUACAGGAGCUGGAAGAACUGUGUCCAUAGCAACAGGUAGUUGGAGAGGUCUGGCUGAUGGACAGCUGGGAUUAUGAGUACUUCCGGCUCCAGGACCAGGAAGAUGGAUGGCUCAGUCAAAACGCUUGCUGCCCAGCCUAAUGACUGGAGUUCAAUCCCCAGGACCCCGGGACAUGUUGAAGGAAGAGAACUGACUCCCUUGGGAUAUCCUGACUUCCACUCACGCUGUGGCAUGCACAUGCAUACAUACCCACAGGAAGGGGGCAUCAGCGAGAAGUGAGGGAAUCCAAGGGCGGUCCUAGUGCUUCUAGCAAAGGGGAAAGGCCCUCAGAAGCCAAAACAGGUGCAGGGGGUCUUGACGCACAUUAAAGUGGCCUAAGGAGGAAGUGUGGUCAGUGGUAACUAGUGGUGCCAGGCGGCCGAAACAGGAACAUUGCCACACAGGUCACAGCGUCCUUUGCCAAGGUUGGGUGAAGUAAGAACUUUAUUUGAAUAGGGUUCAGGCACCAGCCAAGUAGAGGACUGGAGAUGUUUCUGAAGGAGUAGAGGAAGGGAAAGAGACAGAGGGCACAGAGGGAGGGCGAGAGCAGGUGUGUGAAUGUGCCCGAGUGUGGGUGGCCGGGCACUCGAGCUAUCCCAAUCAUGCCCUGUCCUCCCUUCUGAGAAACCCCCUUCACGGCCGUCCCCAGGCAGCCUGGAAGGGCGCUGUAAAGCUCCAGUCCCUGGAAGGUGAAUGUGGCUGGUCCUGGUGUGGAAACCUUUCAGAAUGACACCUUGGGAAGACUAGCAGAGGUGCUGCUUGUCUGGAGAGAAGGGGGCUCAGCCAGGGACAUGGGCACCUCUUUUUGUGGUGAUAGGACAUGGAUGUCCGGGAGAGCACAGGUACAGGUGAUGGUGUUUGCACCCACUCUGAUACACUUCGCACAUCACAGUAGGUGCGCUGUGACAUCGUCGUCGAUGCACAUGAUACAUAUCAGUCACAUUUGCCCCAAGCCCUUCCUUGGUCCCUUCUAGUCCCAGCCAUCCCCCUUCCCACCUCUCCCCCUUCUACUUAAUUGUUUUUCCUUUGAUUUUUACUUAUAGAUGGGUGUUUGCUGGGAAUCAAACCUGAGUCCUCUGGAACAGCACACAGGCAGGAAGUGCUCUUAAUGGCCAAGUCCUCUCUCCAGCCCCCACACCGUGUGUGUGUGUGUGUGUGUGUGUGUGUGUGUGUGUGUCCCUGUUCCACUGAGUUUUACUGUGUUGUUUCCAGGAACAUGGGAAACAGUGGCUUCUCUCCCUUCCCUAGCAAGAGCUGAGUGCACAUAAACCCUCUGGGGAGGGGAGUGCUACAGGCCACUCUCUUCACUAUGAGACAUGGACUUACAUGUCCUAGGCCAGCCUCUUACCGUGUAUUGAGUAGGAUAACCUGGAACUUAGAGGUCAUCCUGCUGCCUUCACUUCCCCAGUGCUGGCAUGACGGCAGACAUGCCUGUGUAUAUAGUGCUGAGGACUAAGCCCAGGGCCUCCAACAUCUAGGAAAGGUUUUUUACCACUGAGCUACCAUGCAACCAUGGUUUUAGCUUUCGUGGUCAUCUUCUCAGUGAGGAGGGAUGGGGCUGGAAGAGUCCAUUCACCGACCACCUGGAAGUGUUCCCUGACCCAGGCACUACCUGGAGCCUGACACUGGGGCAGGGGGACAGCCUAGGAAAGCACAGAGGUUCAGGCCAUGACAGCCCCAAGGAGGAGCUGCUGCCAGACUCUCUGGGUUCUACAUGGCCAGCCACUCAUCAGCUAGGGACUUGGCCUAGGAAACUGACUGCAUGUCUGAAGGCUGGCCACAUAGCUGUAAUAUGAGUCAGGGAGAGUCUCAGAGAUCAAGAAGAAGGUAUUCCCAAUGUCAGGAUGAGCAGAGCCAGGGUUGAAAGUGGCCAGGAGCCUGAGUUGGUAUGUGUAGGUCCUCCUGUCGUGGGCCCCACCCCACCCAGGUCCUAGCUUACUGUCACCUGGCUGAACCAAAACUUACCUGGUCUUUAAGGAUGAACUCUGGCCUUUCUCUGAUCAGAGGGGCUCCGGCUCGCCCACCUUCCUUCUUGUCUAUCCCACUGGUCUCUCAAGGCUCAACACAAGGAAGGUAACUUACUAGAAGAGAAUCGUCUGAGACACAUAGCAAAGCUGUACAAAAAGCUGCCAUGGCCCAGCUGGGAGGACCAUCCCAGGACAGUGCUCCGGUAUGAAUAGGCAGUUCACACACUAGCCAGUAAAGAUAUGCGGCUGUGCCAGGAGUCCAUAAAUGGGCAGUCUCUUGUUUUGCCCGGCGGCCAGGCUAAAAUUGAACAGCAUUUGGCCAGCCUGUCACAGCCAGGUGGGGACUGUGAACAGGCCAAGUGGGAAGUCUCGAAGUCAUCAUUGGUCAAGCUAAAGGGGAGGGGCUCCUCAGACCGCCCUGGCAGUGCCCAGAAAGGCCAACAUUUCUUUAUAGUGCUGGGGACUGAUCCCAGAGUCUCACAUGUCACCAUUCCUUUUGUAGGUAGGCAUCCUAUCCCAGGACUCCUGGAUCCAGCCAAACCUGAUCAUCCAGCCUUUCUCAUUCAACGAACUGGUGGCUCAUUACAUCCAGGUACAGCACAGCCACAGGCAAGAACAGAACCUGCACACAUCUUCUCAUCUGCCCAAUGGAGUCAGAGACUCUCGCCCCAGAGGACAUUGUGAGGGCCAACUGGGCCCCCACCGGCAUGGCCUCGCGGAGCACAGAGAUUAUCCCAGUAACUGACUUGUUAUGACCUCAUUCUUAUUUUAACAUUUAUUUUAUUUUAUGUGUA
Mus musculus (house mouse) is the source of this 4879-nucleotide long non-coding RNA. RefSeq annotates it as predicted gene, 51959. The transcript has 3 exons. The record is from RefSeq and is a predicted model, not a curated record. NCBI's taxonomy places the organism in Eukaryota, Metazoa, Chordata, Mammalia, Rodentia, Muridae.